Molecule: ribosomal RNA, 171 nt
Filed under: uncultured bacterium
Lineage: Bacteria
Description: partial 16S ribosomal RNA
Rfam family: Bacterial small subunit ribosomal RNA
Source: RNAcentral
CCUACGGGAGGCAGCAGUGGGGAAUCUUGCGCAAUGGGCGAAAGCCUGACGCAGCAACGCCGCGUGCGGGAUGACGGCCUUCGUGGUUGUAAACCGCUUUCAGCAGGGACGAAAAUGACGGUACCUGCAGAAGAAGCCCCGGCUAACUACGUGCCAGCAGCCGCGGUAAUA